CGAACAAUGUGGUUAGAUUAAGGAGAUGUUUAUCUUUUAAAUUGUGUAAAAUAGUUGAUUGUUUGAGAAAUUGAAAUUAUUAGAUUUUUGAUGUUUUGAAUUUCCAGCCUUGUUAGCAAUCCCGUCUCGGGGUUCAUUGCUAACCUGUAGCCCCAACAGGACUAUUAUUAUCCUAAUUUAUGACUAUCCAAUCCACUCAUCACAUUAGAAAUAGUAGGUUAUUUUACAUUAGGUGCCGCCUAUAGUAAUCGAUAGUUGAUAAAUUCGUACAUUUUACUGAUGAUCAUAAGAAACUGAAUUCUAUCAACUUCCUCAUUCUGUCCCAUUACUGUAGCUGGCCACUGUGUUGACUUGAGAGGUCACGCACAGUGCCCACGGCAGAUGAAUGAAAUUUGUACUUCGGGGAGAAAAAGUUUUUUUUAAAUAACUGCAUUUAAAACAACUAUAAUCUAAAUAUAAUAAUAUACUUGUAAAAAAUAAAUAGAGUACAAAGUGCUAACCACCCAGCUUUGGAAAACUUAGAAAGUCUGUUUCCCUGCUUUUGAGAGGAGCUGGCUACUGUACACAGAGAUUCCCAGAAAUUGCGAUAAUCCAACGUCAAUUAUCUUCAAACUGCACGCAGAGACAUAAAAAUGGUGUCCAGGAGUUCAGCUGACCCUGGGUAAGUAGAAUGACCUAAAUCCCAUCAUCUUCCAGUAUCCCUUUAAGGACAGGAGCAUGACGUGCAUAUUCCAUUUACCAUGAAAAACAAAUAGAAACAGUGUUUCCUUUCAGUCACAUUUUCACCAAGCUCCGGCCCAACAACAGUCUAGUUUACCUCCGGACAUACUGUACAGUAUACCAAAUACAUUUCUUUCGCAUGAUUAUAACAAACACUUAAUUUUGGAAAUAUAACAAGAGUUUGGGACUAUAAGGUUCCUAUCUGAAUUUUUGUCCGAAUGUAAUUAUUGACAUAGCCUUGUUCUGUUCAGUGUUCUCUACAGUAGUACUCUAAAUACCCCAAUUCAUGUUAUUAAAUUCAAAAGAUUACAAGAUAAAAAUUGCUGACACCAUUCAAACCAAUGAGGGUUCAGAACAUUAAAGCCAAUUACUGUAUUUCAGCAUACAGCAUAGAUACCGUCUCAGCCUCCAGUAUCUAUGCUGCAAUAGUCUAUGUGCCGGGUGCCAAGGGUCAGUCUGUUAUAUCUGGUGUAAUUCUCCUGUCUUAUCUGGUGUCUUGUGUGAAUUUACAUACAGUGAGGGAAAAAAGUAUUUGAUCCCCUGCUGAUUUUGUACGUUUGCCCACUUUUCCCCCACCCACACAGUCUACCAAAAAAAAGAGCAUAAAAAAAACAUCCUAUUUCUUCUGUUAAAACAAAACCGCCAAAUCUCUACACAGGCACCGGCGCCUGGGAGGGCGGAACAUCUUCCAUUGCCAAUAACCUUUGCAGAUCUUCCGCUGUGAACUCCUGAAGUCCCAAAUACUUUUCAGCUGCCGCCACAAUGAUGUCCAACUUCUUCUUUUUUUUUUUUUAUACUUGUGCCGUAUAGCUAAUAACAGUUGCAAUGAAUGCUACAGAAUCCAUCUUUUUAACAAACAGCGGAGCCGGUUGACUUGCUUGACACAUUCACGGGCUGUGGUGCAUCCGCGACACUGUAACUUGCUUUCUCAACUCUUUUGGUUGCGCCUGCAUAGAAAAUCCGAUGGACCGUUCUAACUUCCGCCACCUCAAUUUCUCAACUUACAGGGCAUUCCAAGAACUCAGGAUCAUGAUCCCUACCAUAAUUGCAGAACUGACCUUCUUCACUCCAAUCUUCAUUAUACAUAUUUCAUCUGC
Molecule: long non-coding RNA, 1817 nt
Filed under: Salmo salar (Atlantic salmon)
Lineage: Eukaryota; Metazoa; Chordata; Actinopteri; Salmoniformes; Salmonidae
Description: lncRNA (ENSSSAG00000088083.1)
Source: RNAcentral